Molecule: long non-coding RNA, 883 nt
Filed under: Volvox carteri
Lineage: Eukaryota; Viridiplantae; Chlorophyta; Chlorophyceae; Chlamydomonadales; Volvocaceae
Description: long non-coding RNA (VCAR_LNC000254)
Source: RNAcentral
CUCAAACGAAUGUUACACGCCAAUUCACAACCAAAAAUCCAGCCACGCAAAAUCUGGAAUUUACUGAACAAUGAUCUUGCCGACCAUGCCAGCACCCUGGUGCGGCUCGCAGUAGUAGCCGUACUCGCCCGGGGUAGUCAGCUUCACGCUGUACGUCUCGCCAGGGGCGUUCAGGAGGUCAUCGCGAGAGAUGGCAUCCACGUUCACGCCAGCCUAGGAAAAAUUCGUAGGGUGCAAAGGGCCGUGUCAGCAUGCAAGCGAAAAAAGCCAAAAUGCAGGCAAAUCCCAAAGCUGAGGUAUAUUACUUACUGGGACGGCGUCCUCAUCGAAGACAACGUUGUGCGGGAAGCCAGCGUUGUUGACGAAGUCGACGGUGUCACCAGACUUAAUCGUGACGGUGGAUGGCUCGAACACCAGGGCACCAGAGUCAGCACCCAGCUUCACGGUGGCAGCGUGGGCCGACAGAGUCACAGCCAGCGAAGCGACCGAGACACCAGCAACGGAGGCCACGCGGCUAACAGCGGCCUUCAGCGAGGCAACCGGGCGAACGGCGCCGGCGCGGGAGGCGGGAGCACGCAGAGUAGCCUUCAUUUUUGAUGAUUUCGAUGAUACGCUGUCACCAGGUAUGAUUUCUGAAGUUUCACAUGGCAGUUUAUGGAGACGCAAGCGGUACGACGGAUGAGGAGAUUUCACAAGGCCCUGCAAACCACGACCUCAAACAUCGGCUGCGUGCAUUUUCCCUUGGAUGGCAUUUGUAAUUGUAUUCUACAAAGGGUCUUACCAAUCUUCUGUAACAUGUUGUCCAUUAUUUGUUCUUGUGCUGACUCAGGACUUGACGCCUUUCUCUACAAUGGCUUAAACAUCAAUACGUGCUUCUGUGGAC